AUGCAGAUUAUAAGGCUCUGCCCCAAGAGAUUCUCACACAGAGGGUCUGGGGUGAAACCUAAGGAUCUGCUGUAUCAACAGGCACCAGGUGAUUUGGAGGCAACGGGUUCAUAUUCAGGCCAUGCUGACUGUCCAGCCUGGGAGCUCCUGGAAGACUGGCAGGCCAGAUAUCUUCACCUCCAUGGUGUCCACACACUGGUAGAAAUAGCAUGGGGUAAGAUGAGAAGUUAUUUGUGUAAUUACAGCCACAAUAAGGGAGAGAGAGAGCAUCUGCAAUGAAGAUAGGUAAGCCAUGUGGAGCUGUCUAUGGAGGAAGGCCUGAGGGAAAGGGUGGGACUUUCAAAUUAUGUCUGUGGACUUUAUGGACUUUAUUUAUUUCAGAUCACUCAGAGACUUCAUCUAUCCAGCAUGGAAUAAGGGGAAGGGAGGGGUCCUAAAGUGAGUUUAGAAACUGUUGUAUGGUCCAAAUCAGCUCCUAAGAAUGCUUUCAGCUGCAAGAAACAGAAGCCCAACUCAAAUUGGCUUAAACAAAAAGGACAUGUAUGAAUUAUGUGGAAUAGAUUUUCAUUGAAUGAAAAUCUAGAGGAGUUCAGAUUCAGGUAUGGUUUGAUCAAGCUUUUUGCUUCAUUUUUCUGUGAUUGUCACAAGUCUUCAUUCCUCUAUUGAUGAAUUUGCUUCCCCAGGCUAAUUCGUCUGAAAGUCUUUGGGUGGCUACAGUUGGCCAUCAGAAUUACCUUGCUUUCUUGUUCACAGAGAAGAAAGGAAGAUAACAAGUGAGGAGGCACUCGUUCCUUUUAGAGCAGACCUGCUAACAGGCAAAUUCCUGACUUAGCCUGUUGAUAAUUUCAUUUCCCAGAGGGUCAGAAGGUCACUUGGUAUACCUCAUAAAAGAAAACAACAAUUUCCUCUGAAGACUCUAAGCAAAUAUUUUUAUCUAUGUUGGCUGCAAUGAGCCUAGACAUCUCUAUUCUGAAGUCCAUUACUGAGGAAGGUUGAUAGGAUUGACUCAAAAUAAUCAGCCAGAGUGAAAGAAUUGAUAGUAUUUGUGAUGCAUUUCUGUGUAACAAACAACCACCGAGUCUCAACAAUAAGCAUUUAUUUAGCUCCUGUGUCUGCGUGUGGACUGUGGCUGUCUGAUGUAGGACUGGCCCAGCUAUUAUAACUUGGCUGGGUUUGCCUUGCUUCUCUGGUCCAUGUAGCUUCUCCUGGGAUUACAGGCAGGUUCUUCUCAUGAUGAUGGUACAAGUGAAAGAUGACACGUGGAAGCAUGCAAAGCCUCUUAAGGCUUAGGUCUAGAAGUGAUGCACCAUCACUUCUGUCUCAUUUUAUUGGCCAAAGCAAACCACGUUAAUUCAAAAGGAGAAGAAAUAUACUCUGUCUGGUUAGUGGAGGAACUUCAAAAUCAUAUGGCGGGUACUGUGGGCACAGCUAAGGGUAGGGUGAGGUGAGUGAGCACUGUCUUCCAAGUUUAAGGUGGAGGUGCCAAGAUAUUUAAUCAAGAUAAAUAUUUUAAUGAAAUAUUUUAAAAAAUCAAAAUCAAUGCAAAAAAAAACCAUCCUAAGCAUAGUGCCAAAUUUUUAAAUAAAGACAGCAUCAGUAUAGGGAAGCA
Molecule: long non-coding RNA, 1609 nt
Organism: Vulpes vulpes (red fox)
Lineage: Eukaryota; Metazoa; Chordata; Mammalia; Carnivora; Canidae
Source: Ensembl